AAUCAUGGGGAGAGAGGACGUAAGUGGUUUUUUGUUUUGUUUUGUUUUAUUUGCAGUGUGUGCUGCCAUUAUCAUGGUCGUCAUUAGCAUUUAUUAACAGCGUACUUUUAUUGAGUCCUUAUUUUAAACCGAGCACUGUGAUGGAGUCUUUUGAGGAUGCUUUUCUUAAGACGAACAGGACCUUUUAUGAAAUUUAAAAAGGACCCAACCUUCCUGCUUGGAGUGGAGUUGUGGUGAACAUGAAUCAUGAGGAGCCAGGUGAGAGUUUAUGCCCCUCAGCAGUCUGUGCGAGGGCCCAAGAAGGGACCUGGAAAUUAUUUAUGGAGUAAUGAGAAGACUCCCUGGCCAUGGUAACCCAAGACAAUGAGUCACAUACAGCCCAGGGCUUAGUCCCGGCUGCCACUUGUCAUAGGCUCUGGGUCAUUUUGGUCCUGGUGAUGAUGAUGUGAAUGAAGUACGUCAGGACAAACCUGGACAGAAGAGCCUGCUGACUGGGACAGCACAGCCAGCCCUUCCGUCUGGGCUUAUCCAGGAGGGGGAUUUGCCUCUGGAGGGUAAGAGUUGCCCCUGCAGAUAACAAAGAGAAACUACAAGUGUAACAUCGCUCAAAGGAAUGGAGUGGGCAAAAAAGAAACGACAGGAACACAUUAAACUGGAGUUCAUAAUAGUUCAUUGUGAGCUCAGCUGAAGUUUCAUUAGAUAUAUCACUUAUUUUCCACUGCUUCACAAGACAUAGUAGAUCACAAAGAGGGAUGGUGGGGAGAGAAAGAGCUUGAGUCAGUGUGCUGAGCGGGGAUGGGGGAAGAGCUGAGGGGGGAAAUCAGUCUGGAAAAGCCAUGGGGGCAGGGUUAUGGCCCACCAUGAACUGGGCAGGGAGUGACAAGGGGAAAACCGUCUUGGGAGAUU
This 906-nucleotide long non-coding RNA is filed under the name Mustela putorius furo (domestic ferret). Its description in RNAcentral is "lncRNA (ENSMPUG00000025983.1)". Lineage: Eukaryota; Metazoa; Chordata; Mammalia; Carnivora; Mustelidae. The record is from RNAcentral.